AUUUGGGGCCUUAGGGUUCUUACCCGUUCGUCCGCUUUGUUGUCGUCAACGCGAUCGUCUUGGUCCAUGGCUCUCUAGAAUCGGAAUGUCCGUUCUUUGUUCGACGUCGCGAAUUUAGAGACUUCUCUUCCCCGAAGAAAUGGAGGUUAUUUGUGGCCUUUCUGAUUUGUUAAGUGCAAUACAAACAUUUCUUGGAUGCCUAAAUUAGAAAAAUUACAAACUAGACGACCUGGAUCCAUAUUCAUGGCGGAGACUCUUGCAAGAUGGAAAGAUUACAACGAUCACCUUGAUACAUGUAAUGAUGAGGCUAAACUCCCCUGUAGAGUUCCAGCCAAGGGAUCCACGAAAGGCUGCAUGAAAGGUAAGGGAGGGCCAGAGAAUUUGAGAUGUAAUUACAGAGGAGUUAGGCAAAUGACAUGGGGGAAGUGGGUUGCCGAAAUUCGAGCACCGAAUAGGGGAAGUUGACUCUGUUUAGGUACAUUCCCAUCUGUCAUUGAUGCCGCUCUUGCUUACGAUGAAGCAGCAAGGGCCAUAUAUGGAACUCUAACUCGCCUCAAUUUUCCCAAUAUCUCAAACACAAAAAGAAUCAUCAACAAAGGAUUCUCCUGAAAUCAAAAGGUCCUCAAUCUGUUCCUUGGGGUCAACUUCAUUUAGUCCGAGUUCAUCACUCUGAGGAUUUUGCGGUUGAGGAUGUCGAGCUAGCUGUAAUAGCUCAAACCAACCGCUAAUGAUAUUGUCCGCUUUGGCCCAUUACGUAUCGCUGUCAGCCUCACGGUUUUAAAAUGCGUCUUCAAGGGAGAGGUUUCUACCCCUUACAAGAAAUGUUUUGUUUCUCUCUCCAACUGACGUGGAUCACACACCAGCUUUGACCU
Molecule: long non-coding RNA, 872 nt
Organism: Cucurbita maxima (winter squash)
Lineage: Eukaryota; Viridiplantae; Streptophyta; Magnoliopsida; Cucurbitales; Cucurbitaceae
Exons: 2
Source: RefSeq, a predicted model, not a curated record